UACGUAGGGUGCGAGCGUUGUCCGGAAUUAUUGGGCGUAAAGAGCUUGUAGGCGGUUUGUCGCGUCUGCUGUGAAAAUCCGGGGCUCAACCCCGGACUUGUAGUGGGUACGGGCAGACUAGAGUGUGGUAGGGGAGACUGGAAUUCCUGGUGUAGCGGUGGAAUGCGCAGAUAUCAGGAGGAACACCGAUGGCGAAGGCAGGUCUCUGGGCCACUACUGACGCUGAGAAGCGAAAGCAUGGGGAGCGAACAGG
This 253-nucleotide ribosomal RNA is filed under the name uncultured bacterium. RNAcentral describes it as "partial 16S ribosomal RNA". It matches the Rfam family "Bacterial small subunit ribosomal RNA", at positions 524 to 776 of the family's 1533-position model. The record is from RNAcentral.